UGGGGAAUUUUGGACAAUGGGCGAAAGCCUGAUCCAGCAAUGCCGCGUGUGUGAAGAAGGCCUUCGGGUUGUAAAGCACUUUUGUCCGGAAAGAAAUCCUUGGCUCUAAUACAGUCGGGGGAUGACGGUACCGGAAGAAUAAGCACCGGCUAACUACGUGCCAGCAGCCGCGGUAAUACGUAGGGUGCAAGCGUUAAUCGGAAUUACUGGGCGUAAAGCGUGCGCAGGCGGUUUGCUAAGACCGAUGUGAAAUCCCCGGGCUCAACCUGGGAACUGCAUUGGUGACUGGCAGGCUAGAGUAUGGCAGAGGGGGGUAGAAUUCCACGUGUAGCAGUGAAAUGCGUAGAGAUGUGGAGGAAUACCGAUGGCGAAGGCAGCCCCCUGGGCAAUACUGACGCUCAUGCACGAAAGCGUGGGGAGCAAACAGGAUUAGAUACCCUGGUAGUCCACGCCCUAAACGAUGCCAACUAGUUGUUGGGGAUUCAUUUCCUUAGUAACGUAGCUAACGCGUGAAGUUGACCGCCUGGGGAGUACGGUCGCAAGAUUAAAACUCAAAUGAAUUGACGGGGUCAUAGCUGUUUCCU
This 584-nucleotide ribosomal RNA is filed under the name uncultured bacterium. RNAcentral's name for it is "partial 16S ribosomal RNA". It matches the Rfam family "Bacterial small subunit ribosomal RNA", at positions 355 to 1375 of the family's 1533-position model. The record is from RNAcentral.